RNAcentral lists this transfer RNA (74 nucleotides) under Candidatus Omnitrophota bacterium. RNAcentral's name for it is "tRNA-Gly". It matches the Rfam family "tRNA". From Rfam's summary of the family: Transfer RNA (tRNA) molecules are approximately 80 nucleotides in length. Their secondary structure includes four short double-helical elements and three loops (D, anti-codon, and T loops). Further hydrogen bonds mediate the characteristic L-shaped molecular structure. tRNAs have two regions of fundamental functional importance: the anti-codon, which is responsible for specific mRNA codon recognition, and the 3' end, to which the tRNAs corresponding amino acid is attached (by aminoacyl-tRNA synthetases). tRNAs cope with the degeneracy of the genetic code in two manners: having more than one tRNA (with a specific anti-codon) for a particular amino acid; and 'wobble' base-pairing, i.e. permitting non-standard base-pairing at the 3rd anti-codon position. RNAcentral also lists the same sequence under 1 other name. Lineage: Bacteria; Pseudomonadati; Candidatus Omnitrophota. The record is from RNAcentral.
GCGAGCGUAGCACAGUGGUAGUGCAGAAGCCUUCCAAGCUUCCUAUGUGGGUUCGAUUCCCAUCGCUCGCUCCA